UACAGAGGUCCCAAGCGUUGUUCGGAUUUAUUGGGCGUAAAGCGUGCGUAGACGGCUAUCUAAGUCGGGUGUGAAAGCCCCGGGCUCAACCUGGGAAUUGCAUUCGAGACUGAAUAGCUAGGGUACGGUAGAGGGAAGCGGAAUUUCCGGUGUAGCGGUGAAAUGCGUAGAUAUCGGAAGGAACAUCAGUGGCGAAAGCGGCUUCCUGGACCAGUACCGACGUUCAGGCACGAAAGCGUGGGGAGCAAACAGG
RNAcentral lists this ribosomal RNA (253 nucleotides) under uncultured bacterium. RNAcentral's name for it is "partial 16S ribosomal RNA". It matches the Rfam family "Bacterial small subunit ribosomal RNA", at positions 524 to 776 of the family's 1533-position model. The record is from RNAcentral.